UCGAGAAUUUUUCUCAAUGGGGGAAACCCUGAAGGAGCGACGCCGCGUGGGGGAUGAAGGGCUUCGGCCCGUAAACCCCUGUCAUUUGCGAACAAGUGUUGCGGUUGAACAUUCCGUAAUUUGAUUGUAGCGAAAGAGGAAGGGACGGCUAACUCUGUGCCAGCAGCCGCGGUAAUACAGAGGUCCCAAGCGUUGUUCGGAUUCACUGGGCGUAAAGGGUGCGCAGGUGGGUUUGCAAGUUCGAUGUGAAAGCCCCGGGCUUAACCCGGGAAUGGCAUUGGAUACUGCAGAUCUGGAGGAUUGGAGGGGGGACUGGAAUUCUUGGUGUAGCAGUGAAAUGCGUAGAUAUCAAGAGGAACACCAGUGGCGAAGGCGAGUCCCUGGACAAUACCUGACACUGAGGCACGAAAGCCGGGGGAGCAAACAG
RNAcentral lists this ribosomal RNA (427 nucleotides) under uncultured bacterium. RNAcentral's name for it is "bacterial SSU rRNA". It matches the Rfam family "Bacterial small subunit ribosomal RNA", at positions 355 to 775 of the family's 1533-position model. The record is from RNAcentral.